Molecule: non-coding RNA, 7362 nt
Organism: Lactuca sativa (garden lettuce)
Lineage: Eukaryota; Viridiplantae; Streptophyta; Magnoliopsida; Asterales; Asteraceae
Source: RefSeq, a predicted model, not a curated record
GGAAAUAAAAUAUGUUACCGUUGCGUUGGGCACGUAAACCGUCCUCAGAAACCUACAAAUAUCACGACCACCACAUCAAUCUGCACUCCCUUCGUUCUUCUCCAACAACAUGAAACGUCUCUUCAACCCACUUGCUUUAAUGGAGGAAAAUACACACAUUUUUACUGAAGUUCAGUUCAUGUCAACAGAUGCUUGGUGGUAAUAUGCAGUCUAUCUGCUACAAAAAGAAUAUAGAAGAUUAUGGUCUAUUGUAUUAUCUCCACUUAGAUCAGACACAGGUUGUGAAGUCAACAUUCAAGUAUUUGUCUACCUUAUAUUCUUCUUGAGGCUUGAGAUCAAAUAUAAGGCAUUUGAUGUGGUGGUUUAUAUAUUUUCAGACAUCAAUUUUUUCUUCGUUUUACAAAAUCAAUAAAUUAAUAAUUUCACCUAACCUUUAUCUUUUUUGUUAGAUCUUGACCACUUAUCCUGCUCAUCUUGUGGUUGGAAUGUAUGCCUUUUUAUUUUAAUAGUUUUUAGUUUCUUCUUACAAAAAUAAAAAGUAACUUAUCAACUGUUUUUAAUUGCACAACAGUCCUCUUUUUGAUCAUGAUGCGAUUGUUAUUUCUUACUUGGGAUUAUUCAAGAUGUGUCUAUAUAUUGACUAACUAUCAUUGUGCAUAGAACAUGUUCACUAUGAGAUCCGAUUUUUUUAAACGGCUUAUCUAUUUUAUAGUUUUUACCCUUUUUUUCUUCGUAAAAUUGAUCUUCUUUAAUUGGAUUAACUUAUCCCCUUUUAUACAUUUUGUACUGAUUAUGCUCAUAUUUUGAUGCUAUCAAUUGCUAAUGUUGAUUUUGGCCCUAGUGAUGAUGGACUUAUUAAAAAGGUGAAAAUAAACCGAGGUUGUCAUCUCAUCUUUUUGUGAAUAAUCGGAUUAUAAUUAGUUGUUUAAUCAUAAAUUAUAAUUAAUCUAAAUCUAAUACUUCAUUUUGUUAGGGAAAUGGCGGAGUCAUAGAUGCAUGUAAAAGUAAGUUGCUUCUUAAGUAAGGUUGUUGAAGCAAAAACAGAUGCUUGGUGUUAAUCUGCAGUUUAUCUGGGCCAUACAACUCUUUAAUGUUGAUUUUGGCUCUAGUGAAUAGUGAUGGACUUCAGAAGGUCAAAAUAACCAAGGGGAAAUGGAGUGAGCUCCAAAAUACAGAUUGAAAGGAGUCAUCUCUGCAUGUAAAAGUUGCUUCUUAAGGUACAAAAAGAAAAUAGAUUAUGGUCUAUUGUAUUAUCUCCACUUAGAUCAGACACAGGUUUAUGUGGGGCUCACGAGGUUUGAAAAGUCAACAUUCAAGUACUUGUCUACCCUCCAUUGUUCUUGACACUUCAGAUCAAAUUAAGUCAUUUGAUGUGGAAAUAAAUUCGAAUGCUCGCUUAAAACCGGGGACUAUGUGGUAAUUUCUAUAAUUUUUAGACAUCAUCUGUUUCCUCCUUAUACAAAAUCAAUAAAUUAAUAAUUUCACCUUUUACUUUUUUGUUAGAUCUUGAACAGUUUUUGUGUUGGACAUCACUUGCACCAAAAUGUGGCUGUAUGCCUUUUUAUUUCAAUAGUUUUUAGUUUCUUUUUACAAAAAAAAAAAAAAAACAAAAGUAACUUAUCAACUGUUUUUAAUUGCACAACAGUCCUCUUUCUCAAAGCACUUAAGGCUUCAAUGGAGCAUCAUCUAUGAUCUUUGUAAAGAUGAAUUUUAAAAAGCAAUGAGGUAGUUAGAGGUCCUUAAUUAUUAAUUAAUUUUAACUUGCAAAUAUCUAUGUAGUGUGUAAGUUCUGAGUUUCUAUUGUUUGUACAAUAAUGUAGGAGUUGAUGUGAGUAUGAAAAAUUCUUGAAAUUCUUUUUAGGUUGUUGUAUAUUAUCUGUAGGCUCCUCGAUAUGAUGGUGUUUUAGUAAAGGUUAGGUAUCAAUAGUCAGGUAGUGUGUGUUUGGUUUGAGGGAAUGUAAUGGUUAGUUCCAUUGGAAGGAAAGAAGCUGUUUGUUUUGCCUGAUGGAAUGGAAUGGAACCCUCUUGAGGGGAAUGUGAUUCCUUUUCCUUCCCCUUUGUUAGCAGUCUUAUUUUCUUCAUUUCAUGUAUCAUGUGAAUAAAUAUUAUGUUGUGUGUUUUCUUUUUGAUCAUGAUGCAAUGGUUAUUUCCUAGAUGGAAUGAUUCAAGAUGUGUUUGUAUAUUGAGUAUCAUUUAUCGGUCUCUUUGUGAUAUUCCCCUUUAACCCUUAAACAUGUCCAUUAUGGGAUCAGAUUAUUUUUUAAAUUGGCUUAUCUAUCCCAUGGUCACAUAUUUUCAUUUUUUAAAAUGUGUUGGAUUUAUUCACUAACAAGUGUCUUUCUCUCUCUCUCUCUCUCUCUCUCUCUCUCUCUCUCGAUCGAGAUGCAUGUGGUAUGUUUCUUUAGUUAAUGACUUUUUCCAUUAGUAACCUUUUCAUUAAUAACAUCUAAUUUUUAUCUAUACAGUUGCUAUAGUGGAGGAAAUACAUAUAUGCAUACUAAAAUUCAGUUCUUGUCAACCGAUGCAUGCUGGUAAAUUGCAGUUUCUCUGGUUUCUCCAUUCUUAUUUACCCCCUUUAUUCAUAUUCAUGUGCAUCCUUUCUAUUUUAUAACUUUUACCCUUUUUUUCCGCAAAAUUAAUCUUCUUUAAAUGGCUUGUCUAUCCCAUAUUAAUAUAUUUUCAUUUGUUUAAUAACUUUUUGGAUUUGUUCAUUAGGAAGCUAGCCCAAGAAAUGUCUCUUUAACCAUAUCUGUGUUUUUCAUAUUUUGUUUUAUCAUCUAUCGAUUAUCUUGUUCUCAAUUCUUAUUUGAUUGAAUUUUUCAAAGGGUUUUGAUUUUUGAAUGCCAGAGGUUCCUUAUAUAAUUAUUUCCUACUUGAAAAUUAGGGUCUUCGAGUUUCUUGUUUUUCAUCAUAUUCUUCAUAGUCGAUUUAUUUGUAAUUGUUUUUUAUAUUCGAUUCAUCAUGCUCUUUAUUGAGGUAUCUUACUUUCUAUAAUGGCCUUUAUGUGAUGGUUUAAGUUACGUUUUUUCAAUCUUCUCUUCCUUUUGAUGCCUUGGUUAUUUCAUGUCUUUUGUGAAGAAAUGUGUUCUGUUCUCUGUUUUCAUUUUGAUCGUGAUGCGGUGGUUAUUUCUUAGUUGGCAUGAUUCAUGAUGUGUAUAACAUAACAUAGGCCUCUUUGUGAUGUUUAUUUUAACCAUUAAACAUGUCCAUCAUGGGAUCAGAUUAUCUUUUUCACAUGGAUCAAAUCCCAAUUCUAUAACAUGAUUCUUUUUGCUGUACACAUGAGCAUCUCCAGUGCAUACAAGUUUAUAAGAGUUGUAAAGAUUUCCAUGUCAUCAUUCCACUCUUAUACAACUUCAUCUUUCAAUUCUCCAAUGCAUACAACCUUACAAAAAAAACUUACAACUCCACCUCAUCACCUUCCAAUGCAUAUAACUCUCAUACCACUCCCCCCUUAACCUCAUAUUCUGAUGGUAUUGCUGUACUAAAGAUUGGUAGUGACACUGAAUUAGGCAAAAAGGAAGAUUUUAAAUGCCAAAAAGGUGAAUAUGGUGAAAAAUGGAACCAUUGACCCUUUGAAAGUCAUAAGAACAGCCUUGGUUGAUGCAACAAGCAUGUAGAUUGUAGUUUGAUAUUGAAAGAAACUAUGGAAGGCUUGCUUUUGUUGGAGAUGCUGUGAGUAGUUCCUGAUGAAAUUGUUUGGUUAUAUAUAGUCAACAACAGUUGGAUCUUUAAGGUGGAAAAAAGUAUGAAACAUAUUUGUUUUGAGUGUGACUUCAACUUAUGCUACUAUGUAAAAAAGGUGUUUAUUGAGACACAAGAUGUGGUUCAAACUCAAACUACUUGCUAGGGCCAUACAACUCUUUAAUGUUGAUUUGAUGGACUUAAGAAGGUGAUGUAAUCAUCUCCUCUUUUUGUUAAUACUCAGAUUAUCGUUAGUUGUUUAAGCAUAAAAAAUACAAUUCAUCUAAUACUUCAUUUUGUUAGAUGAAUAGUAAGUUGAAUCAGUGUAUGCUGUAUUCAUUUAGAUGGUUGAAAAUGCAUGUCUUAAGGUAAUGAAACCACUGAUUUCAUCAUGCCUUUAGAGUUCAAAACCGGAAAAGCAGCCAAUGGAUAUGUAUUUAAUUUUGACAUUUUCCACCAACCUUUUCUUUAUUAACAACUGUGGACUCUUCUCAUGUCUGAAAGGUGUUCUAUAUUCUAACAAAAUUAACAACUGUGGACUCUUUGAACCUCUUAUAUGUUUUUCUUUGUUUUCAUCCUUUUAGGUACAAAAAGAAUAUAGAUUAUGGUCUAUUAUAUUAUCUCCACACAUAUCAGACACAGGUCCCUACCUAUAUAUGACUCCUAAUGUUGAUUUUGGCUCUAGUGGACUUAAGAAGGGAAAAUGGCAUGGUCUCCAAAAUUCAGGUUGAAAGGAGUCAUAUAUAGAUGUAUCUCUGCAUGUAAAAGUUGCUUCUUAAGGUAGUGAAACCUGCAGUGAUUUCAUCAUGCCUCUAUAUAGUUUUGUUUCAAAACCUGAAAAGCAACCAAUGGGCAGGUUCUGAAGAAAGAUAUAAAAGUCAGCAUUCAAGAAAUGACUUGGAAUGCUGGCUUAAAACCGAGGAGGACUGUGUGAUGUUGAACACUGAUCCUGUUUGUCUUGUGGUUGGACAUCCUUGCACCAAUAUGUCACUGUAUAUCAAUUUUCUUUCAAUAGUUGUUAUAUUGGAGAAAAAUACACAUAUGUUUACUGAAAUUCACUUCUUGUCAACAGAUGCUUGGUGGUAAUAUGAAGUUUAUGUGGGCAAUACAACUCUUUAAUGUUGAUUUUGGCUCUAGUGAAUAGUGAUGAACUUCAGAAGGUGAAUAUUACCGAUGGGAAGUGGAGUGAGCUCCAAAAUACAGAUUGAAAGGAGUCAUAGAUGCAUGUAAAAGUUGCUUCUUAAGGUACAAAAAGAAUAUAGAUUAUGGUCCUAUUAUAUUAUCUCCACCCAGAUCAUACACAAGUAAAACAUCAUAAAAAAUGUUUCGUAUAUAUUUUUUUGUGAAUACUCACAAAGAAUGAGACUAAAUGACCAUUUUACCCUACAUUUCUAAAAGAAAAUCACAAUAUUCAUUAAUUUCAACAAUAUUUAUCAAUUUGAACGUGAGAGGAGUUGGGAGGAAAAAUAAGUACAAAUAGGUAGUUUUUUUUUGGCUUAACCCAUUUAGUCAUCCUGUCCAAUAUAAGUAAAAAAGAAAGAACAACUACAAUCUAUAGCUUUCCAGAUUAAGUGCUUAACUUGUUAACCUCUGUAUGUAAAAGAGAAACAGCCCUUAACUUUGUAUUUAUCUUUUACCUUUUUGAAUAUGUUUUUCUUUUUCUAUAUAUUUGUUAUCACAAAGUUUGAAAAGUCAACAUUCAAGUAGUUGUCUACCCUCCAUUGUUCUUGACACUUGAGAUCAAAUUAAGGCAUUUGAUUUGGAAUGGAUAUAUGAAAUCCUUCAUCCUCAGGAAAUAACUUCGAAUGCUCUCUUAAAAAUGUGGUAAUUUCUAUAGUUUUUAGACAUCAAUUGUUUCUUCCUUAUACAAAAUCAAUAAAUUAAUAAUUUCACCUUUUACUUUUGUGUUGGAUCUUGAGCACUCAUUCUGGUCCUCUUCUGGUUGGAAGAGGUUUUGUGUUGGACAUCACUUGCACCAAAAUGUGACUGUAUGCCUUUUUAUUUCAAUAGUUUUUAGUUUCUUCUUACAAAAAAAAAAAGUAACUUAUCAACUGUUUUUAAUUGCACAAGAGUUCUCUUUCUCAAAACACUUAAGGCUUCAAUGGAGCAUCAUCUAUGAUCUUUGUGAAGAGGUUUGGAGGAUUGAUAAAGAUAAAAGAUGAAUUUAAAAAAACAAUGAGGCAGUUAGAGCUCCUUAAUCUACCUCUCUUAAUAAAAGAGAACUUUAUGCCAUACGGCUUCUCCUACAUCCAUUUCACAUAAAAGUUAAAUUACGUAUUUAACCUUUGAAAUCUAUCUCGAACCUUCAAUCUCGCCUAUAUUUCCUCUGCUCCACCUUCAUAUCAAAUUCAAAAUUCAGACCCAAAUCUCCCUACAUCGGUAAUAUAUAAUCAACAAAAAUCAGUAUAUUCAUUCUUUCUUUAUCUCCCCUGUUUCUCUCUAUAAUCCUAGCAGCAACGACUAAGAAGGAGAAGUUGAAUCAGAGAUGCAAAUGGAGUUGACUGCAUCUUAGCUUGGUCCGUAGGAAAUCAAAUCAUACUUCAAAUUUUAAAUAACCAAGGUUUAAUCCUCCUAAGAGAAUGAUCAAACCCUAAAACGAAAACCUACCCUAUUCGUCUUUAGGUUCUGAUUUGCAGGUAUUGUCACCUUCUGAUUCCAUCAAUGUCGCCUCUUCUUUUCUCUAUAAUAAUAUCAGUUGUUUUUGUUUUUGCGAGGAAACCAAGAAAACUAAAAACGCUGGUCUCAAAGUCGGAUCGUUCUUCAGCCCCGUUAUCACCAUUUUUUGCUUGGCGUUAAUGGAGGCAUCAAAUUAAAUGAUUGUUCUAUAUAUUUUGAUUUGGUUUCAUGAAAUUUGGUCAUUGAUUUUUCUUAGUAUGCUUCUAAAUCAACAAGAAAUUGAUGAGAAACUAAUCAUCACUGAUUUUUUAUGUUGCUUAAUUGGAAAUCAGUGUCAAAAAAUCCCACACAAGUCUUCAUACUCUCGAACUUCAGGUUUUAUUUUUAUUCUUAAGGUUUUCUCUCUGAAACGGAAAACCACACUAUAUCCCCUUCAUUUUCUACAAUUUCAUCUUCAAUUUCAGGUUUUAGUUUUAUUCUUAGGUCCUGACUCAAAAGGAUACAUCUGAUUGGGAAAGGAAAUGAAAUUCGAGUGACUGGGAAAGGAAGAAAACAUUCCACACAUAGCCUUUGCCCUAACGAAGCGUCUCCCUUUCAACUAUUUUCUUCCAGCAAGCGACGUCACCCGCAAGCACCGAUCGAAUGUUUCUCAUCAGAGCACGACUCUUCGAUUCUUUACUCUUCACCCUUCACCUUUUACAAUCAUCCUAAGCCUUAAAUCUACAAUCAUGUUUAUUUCUCCAAGAUUAAAAAUUAGUCAGGGGUUCUCGUCUCUUCAGUCUUCUAGCCAACCUUGUGCUAUACAAACUUCAAAUCCUCAAGAUUCAAGUCGCAAGAAGCUCAAUGUUUCCAAAUCAAGUCUCAAGAGUCAAGAAAUAAAGCCUUCAACUUGAUUUUUCAUUCUUCCGACACUUUUUUGCACUCGAUUUCCAUGUUAUAGUUUUUAUCUAAUGUUAUUGCUUCUACUAUGUAUUUAUUUAUUUAUUUUUGUUGAAAUGAUCUAAUGUUUUUGGCUUUUAAAUAUUUUUUUUUCGAUUGUUAUCUCAUGUGAUUUUUAUAUCA